ACACAUGCAAGUCGAACGAGCGAGAGAGAGCUUGCUUUCUCGAGCGAGUGGCGAACGGGUGAGUAACGCGUGAGGAACCUGCCUCAAAGAGGGGGACAACAGUUGGAAACGACUGCUAAUACCGCAUAAGCCCACGGCUCGGCAUCGAGCAGAGGGAAAAGGAGCAAUCCGCUUUGAGAUGGCCUCGCGUCCGAUUAGCUAGUUGGUGAGGUAACGGCCCACCAAGGCGACGAUCGGUAGCCGGACUGAGAGGUUGAACGGCCACAUUGGGACUGAGACACGGCCCAGACUCCUACGGGAGGCAGCAGUGGGGAAUAUUGCACAAUGGGGGAAACCCUGAUGCAGCGACGCCGCGUGGAGGAAGAAGGUCUUCGGAUUGUAAACUCCUGUUGUUGGGGAAGAUAAUGACGGUACCCAACAAGGAAGUGACGGCUAACUACGUGCCAGCAGCCGCGGUAAAACGUAGGUCACAAGCGUUGUCCGGAAUUACUGGGUGUAAAGGGAGCGCAGGCGGGAAGACAAGUUGGAAGUGAAAUCUAUGGGCUCAACCCAUAAACUGCUUUCAAAACUGUUUUUCUUGAGUAGUGCAGAGGUAGGCGGAAUUCCCGGUGUAGCGGUGGAAUGCGUAGAUAUCGGGAGGAACACCAGUGGCGAAGGCGGCCUACUGGGCACCAACUGACGCUGAGGCUCGAAA
RNAcentral lists this ribosomal RNA (694 nucleotides) under uncultured bacterium. RNAcentral's name for it is "bacterial SSU rRNA". It matches the Rfam family "Bacterial small subunit ribosomal RNA", at positions 51 to 758 of the family's 1533-position model. The record is from RNAcentral.